GGCGGCGUGGCGAAGUGGUAACGCAACGGUCUGCAAAACCGAUAUCCGUCGGUUCGAUUCCGACCGCCGCCUCCA
RNAcentral lists this transfer RNA (75 nucleotides) under Clostridia bacterium. Its description in RNAcentral is "tRNA-Cys". It matches the Rfam family "tRNA". From Rfam's summary of the family: Transfer RNA (tRNA) molecules are approximately 80 nucleotides in length. Their secondary structure includes four short double-helical elements and three loops (D, anti-codon, and T loops). Lineage: Bacteria; Bacillati; Bacillota; Clostridia. The record is from RNAcentral.